Molecule: ribosomal RNA, 676 nt
Filed under: uncultured bacterium
Lineage: Bacteria
Description: bacterial SSU rRNA
Rfam family: Bacterial small subunit ribosomal RNA
Source: RNAcentral
GUGGAUAACCUGCCUUGCACUGGGGGAUAACACUUAGAUAUAGGUGCUAAUACCGCAUAAGCGCACGGAGCCGCAUGGCUCAGUGUGAAAAACUCCGGUGGUGUAAGAUGGAUCCGCGUCUGAUUAGCUGGUUGGCGGGGUAGAAGCCCACCAAGGCGACGAUCAGUAGCCGGCCUGAGAGGGUGAACGGCCACAUUGGGACUGAGACACGGCCCAAACUCCUACGGGAGGCAGCAGUGGGGAAUAUUGCACAAUGGGGGAAACCCUGAUGCAGCAACGCCGCGUGAGUGAAGAAGUCAUUCGUGAUGUAAAGCUCUAUCAGCAGGGAAGAAAAUGACGGUACCUGAGUAAGAAGCCCCGGCUAACUACGUGCCAGCAGCCGCGGUAAUACGUAGGGGGCAAGCGUUAUCCGGAUUUACUGGGUGUAAAGGGAGCGUAGACGGCCAGACAAGUCUGAAGUGAAAAUCCAGCGCUUAACGUUGGAAGUGCUUUGGAAACUGCCGGGCUAGAGUGCAGGAGGGGCAGGCGGAAUUCCUAGUGUAGCGGUGAAAUGCGUAGAUAUUAGGAGGAGCACCAGUGGCGAAGGCGGCCUGCUGGACUGCAACUGACGUUGAGGCUCGAAGGCGUGGGGAGCAAACAGGAUUAGAUACCCUGGUAGUCCACGCGGUAAACGAUG